GGGCUUUGUUUGCGCAGGAUAGGUGGGAGGCGUUGAAGAUUUUCUUGCGGGGAGAUUGGAGCCGUUGGUGAGAUACCACUCUAACAAUGCUAGGAUUCUAACCCUAUACCGUUAUCCGGUUAGGGGACAGUUUCAGGUGGUCAGUUUGACUGGGGCGGUCGCCUCCCAAAAGGUAACGGAGGCGUGCAAAGGUUUCCUCAGGCUGGUCGGAAAUCAGUCGUAGAGUGUAAAGGCAUAAGGAAGCUUGAUUGUGAGACCUACAAGUCGAACAAAGACGAAAGUCGGCCUUAGUGAUCCGACGGUUCCGAGUGGAAGGGCCGUCGCUCAACGGAUAAAAGUUACUCUAGGGAUAACAGGCUGA
RNAcentral lists this ribosomal RNA (361 nucleotides) under uncultured eukaryote. RNAcentral describes it as "LSU rRNA". It matches the Rfam family "Bacterial large subunit ribosomal RNA", at positions 2125 to 2485 of the family's 2925-position model. The record is from RNAcentral.